UUUGGAAUUUUGGACAAUGGACGAAAGUCUGAUCCAGCGACGCCGCGUGCAAGAAGAAGGUCUUCGGAUCGUAAAGUGCUUUUGCAGGGGACGAAUUUUUGACUGUACCCUGAGACUAAGAGGUUGCUAACUCUGUGCCAGCAGCAGCGGUAAUACAGAGACCUCAAGCGUUAUCCGGAAUCAUUGGGCGUAAAGCGUACCGAUAGGUGGUUUAUAUAGUCUUGGGUAAAAGCCGGAAGCUCAACUUCCGCGUUUGCUUAAGAUACUUAUAGACUAGAGGGGCAAAGAGGUGAUUGGAACGAACGGUGUAGUAGUGAAAUGCGUUGAUAUCGUUCGGAACACCGAAAGCGAAGGCAGAUCGCUGGGUGCCACCUGACACUGCUAGGACGAAAGCGUGGGGAGCGAA
This 406-nucleotide ribosomal RNA is filed under the name uncultured bacterium. Its description in RNAcentral is "bacterial SSU rRNA". It matches the Rfam family "Bacterial small subunit ribosomal RNA", at positions 355 to 772 of the family's 1533-position model. The record is from RNAcentral.